GACAGAGGGGGCAAGCGUUGCUCGGAAUCACUGGGCGUAAAGCGCACGUAGGCGGCUUGCUAAGUCAGGGGUGAAAUCCUGGAGCUCAACUCCAGAACUGCCUUUGAUACUGGCGAUCUCGAGUCCGGGAGAGGUGAGUGGAACUGCGAGUGUAGAGGUGAAAUUCGUAGAUAUUCGCAAGAACACCAGUGGCGAAGGCGGCUCACUGGCCCGGUACUGACGCUGAGGUGCGAAAGCGUGGGGAGCAAACAGG
RNAcentral lists this ribosomal RNA (253 nucleotides) under uncultured bacterium. RNAcentral's name for it is "partial 16S ribosomal RNA". It matches the Rfam family "Bacterial small subunit ribosomal RNA", at positions 524 to 776 of the family's 1533-position model. The record is from RNAcentral.